UUGUCGAACCUGCAAAGCAGACCGCGAAUUCGUGAUUAAAUACUUUGGGGAAGCGGCGCGGGUCCGAAAGCCCCGCGCCGCCGCCCCUCCCCGCCGAUGCGCACGAAACUGCGUAUCGUGCGGACUAACGUACCCCGGCGCGGAAUGCGCCAAGGAAAACUCAACGAAGCGUCCGCCCCCCGUUGCCUCGUUCGCGGCGUGCGCGGGGGUGCCGGACGUGUCUCGAAUGUCAAAACGACUCUCGGCAACGGAUAUCUCGGCUCUCGCAUCGAUGAAGAACGUAGCGAAAUGCGAUACUUGGUGUGAAUUGCAGAAUCCCGUGAACCAUCGAGUCUUUGAACGCAAGUUGCGCCCGAAGCCACUAGGCCGAGGGCACGUCUGCCUGGGCGUCACGCAUUGCGUCGCCCCCUUCUCGCUCCAUCGGGGCGGGAUCGGGCGCGGAUAUUGGUCUCCCGUGCGCUCGCGCGCGCGGCUGGCCCAAAUGAGAUCCCUCGGCGAUGCAUGUCACGAGCAGUGGUGGUUGAAUUCUCGACUCGCUUGCUGCAGUGCUUGAUGGCAUCGUCCGCUCGGGCAUCACCAACGACCCAACGGCGCCCCUUGGCGCCUUCGAUUGCGACCCCAGGUCAGGC
This 629-nucleotide ribosomal RNA is filed under the name Erythranthe szechuanensis. RNAcentral describes it as "eukaryotic LSU rRNA". The stretch from base 237 to 392 matches the Rfam family "5.8S ribosomal RNA". Lineage: Eukaryota; Viridiplantae; Streptophyta; Magnoliopsida; Lamiales; Phrymaceae. The record is from RNAcentral.